GCCUGGCUAGCUCAGUUGGUAGAGCGCGAGGCUCUUAAUCUCAGGGUUGUGGGUUUGAGCCCCACGUUGGGCA
Molecule: non-coding RNA, 73 nt
Organism: Lates calcarifer (barramundi perch)
Lineage: Eukaryota; Metazoa; Chordata; Actinopteri; Centropomidae
Source: the annotation of a RefSeq genome assembly